RNAcentral lists this ribosomal RNA (507 nucleotides) under uncultured Glomeromycotina. RNAcentral describes it as "SSU rRNA". It matches the Rfam family "Eukaryotic small subunit ribosomal RNA", at positions 569 to 1078 of the family's 1831-position model. Lineage: Eukaryota; Fungi; Glomeromycota. The record is from RNAcentral.
AGCAGCCGCGGUAAUUCCAGCUCCAAUAGCGUAUAUUAAAGUUGUUGCAGUUAAAAAGCUCGUAGUUGAAUUUCGGGAUUAGUACGUUGGUCGUGCCUUAGGUACGUACUGGUGUUACUGGUUCCUACCUUCUGACGAACCAUCAUGUCAUUAAUUUGGUGUGGCGGGGAAUCAGGACUGUUACCUUGAAAAAAUUAGAGUGUUUAAAGCAGGCUCGCGCUUGAAUACAUUAGCAUGGAAUAAUGAAAUAGGACGUUGACCCUAUUUUGUUGGUUUCUAGGAUUGACGUAAUGAUUAAUAGGGAUAGUUGGGGGCAUUAGUAUUCAAUUGUCAGAGGUGAAAUUCUUGGAUUUAUUGAAGACUAACUACUGCGAAAGCAUUUGCCAAGGAUGUUUUCAAUAAUCAAGAACGAAAGUUAGGGGAUCGAAGACGAUCAGAUACCGUCGUAGUCUUAACCAUAAACUAUGCCGACUAGGGAUCGGAUGAUGUUAAUUUUUUAAUGACUCA